UGGGGCGUAGCCAAGCGGUAAGGCAGCGGGUUUUGAUCCCGUCAUGCGUAGGUUCGAAUCCUACCGCCCCAGCCA
RNAcentral lists this transfer RNA (75 nucleotides) under Microbulbifer thermotolerans. RNAcentral describes it as "tRNA-Gln". It matches the Rfam family "tRNA". Rfam says of the family: Transfer RNA (tRNA) molecules are approximately 80 nucleotides in length. Their secondary structure includes four short double-helical elements and three loops (D, anti-codon, and T loops). Lineage: Bacteria; Pseudomonadati; Pseudomonadota; Gammaproteobacteria; Cellvibrionales; Microbulbiferaceae. RNAcentral also lists the same sequence under 23 other names. The record is from RNAcentral.